Non-coding RNA from Paramuricea clavata, 129 nucleotides. Lineage: Eukaryota; Metazoa; Cnidaria; Anthozoa; Malacalcyonacea; Plexauridae. The record is from the annotation of a GenBank genome assembly.
UAGCCAUCGCCAUUAUUUAGGGACACCUUGUAUUUGUAAUAGAAAUCUGGAAUAUUAAUAUAUUCCAGAUUUCUAUUACAAAUACAAAUACAAGGUGUCCCAAAAUAAUGGCGAUGGCUAUGACUAAUU